UGUCUCUGAGCAGUGUCUGCGAUACAGAUCUAGUAAAGAAGAAAAGGAAGUCAUCACUUUCCUACUUGUGAAAAGUAUUCCUCUAUUUUCACAAACUCUUCAGUAUCGAAGUCUCAGGAACAAUGAGGAUCCAUGUUGUCUGUUUGCUGCUGGUGCUGCUCUCGGCCACCGUGCUCUCUCUGGAUAAAAAACCCCCAAACCGUUAUCAGAAAUUCAAAAAUCAGCAUAUCAAUAAAGAAAUGUGUCCUUGUGAGUGUAAUAAAGUAAUGCAAGGUAGACAAAUCAAUGGUAUCAAACCAAAACGCUGUAAGAAUAUCAAUACCUUUGUCCUAUCCGAUGCUGAAUCUGUGAAAGCCAUCUGUUUGGAUCAGGGAGAGCCUUUUCCUGGUAACCUGACCAAAAGUCUUAAACGUUUUGACAUUGUUGUCUGUGAAUGGGAUCAAAUGACAACCCCUCCUACCAACUGUUCUUACAAUGGUAAAAAACUCAAGAACAAGAACAUAAUAAUCAAAUGUGUAAAAGGCUUGCCUGUGCACUAUGAUCAAGACAUUGGUCACUGUGACUGAUGGAGCUGAUGUGUACUUCUCUUGCUUGCAUGACAAUGUUUUUGACACAUGUUUGUAAAAGGAAACAUACCUUUUGUAAAAACAUAGUACCUUUUUGUGCUUUUAGUUAUGAUGAAUGUUUCAAAAAAGUUAAAACAAUGCUGAAAAAUGUGAUUCUUAAUUUCUCUGGAAACAAAAGCAAAUGCCACAUUUUAUCUCUAUGGUGAAGAACUUCAAAGUAAUACAUAUGUGUCAAGCUUUCCUGUUCUUGCUUAAAAAACUGUUUAACCACUUA
Notothenia coriiceps (black rockcod) is the source of this 840-nucleotide long non-coding RNA. RefSeq lists it as uncharacterized. The transcript has 3 exons. NCBI's taxonomy places the organism in Eukaryota, Metazoa, Chordata, Actinopteri, Perciformes, Nototheniidae. The record is from RefSeq and is a predicted model, not a curated record.